RNAcentral lists this ribosomal RNA (275 nucleotides) under uncultured bacterium. RNAcentral describes it as "partial 16S ribosomal RNA". It matches the Rfam family "Bacterial small subunit ribosomal RNA", at positions 79 to 353 of the family's 1533-position model. The record is from RNAcentral.
CUAAGUUUGAUGGCGACCGGCGCACGGGUGAGUAACACGUAUCCAACCUGCCGAUGACUCGGGGAUAGCCUUUCGAAAGAAAGAUUAAUACCCGAUGGCAUAGUUCUUCCGCAUGGUAGAACUAUUAAAGAAUUUCGGUCAUCGAUGGGGAUGCGUUCCAUUAGGCAGUUGGUGGGGUAACGGCCCACCAAACCUUCGAUGGAUAGGGGUUCUGAGAGGAAGGUCCCCCACAUUGGAACUGAGACACGGUCCAAACUCCUACGGGAGGCAGCAUG